UACCAAGUAUUGUUUUUUUUUCCUGCAUGCUAUGAAGAUGUCAACAUGUAAAGAGUACAGCUGUUAUGCAAAUAAAAGUUUUCUUAAAUGUUUUACAGCUGCAAGACCAUCAGCAGGAGCCAUCAUGGUGGGAAAAGGGAAACACUCGACACGUGUGCUGUCAUUCAGGAUGUGAAAAUUGUUGCAUCCAUCAUCUCAAAUGAACUGCCCAGCAAAAAGGGGAUUAGCUGCUGAACCCAAGAUGAAAGACUAAGGGAGUCAGUGUUUUAUAUUUUGUCAUCUUAAUAAACUUUCUUGGGUUACUUUUC
Micropterus salmoides (largemouth bass) is the source of this 308-nucleotide long non-coding RNA. RefSeq lists it as uncharacterized. The record is from RefSeq and is a predicted model, not a curated record. The transcript is spliced from 2 exons. Lineage: Eukaryota; Metazoa; Chordata; Actinopteri; Centrarchiformes; Centrarchidae.